Molecule: ribosomal RNA, 810 nt
Filed under: Bacillus subtilis
Lineage: Bacteria; Bacillati; Bacillota; Bacilli; Caryophanales; Bacillaceae
Description: bacterial SSU rRNA
Rfam family: Bacterial small subunit ribosomal RNA
Source: RNAcentral
AGGGAUAAAAAUAUACUGCAAGUCGAGCGGACAGAUGGGAGCUUGCUCCCUGAUGUUAGCGGCGGACGGGUGAGUAACACGUGGGUAACCUGCCUGUAAGACUGGGAUAACUCCGGGAAACCGGGGCUAAUACCGGAUGGUUGUUUGAACCGCAUGGUUCAAACAUAAAAGGUGGCUUCGGCUACCACUUACAGAUGGACCCGCGGCGCAUUAGCUAGUUGGUGAGGUAACGGCUCACCAAGGCAACGAUGCGUAGCCGACCUGAGAGGGUGAUCGGCCACACUGGGACUGAGACACGGCCCAGACUCCUACGGGAGGCAGCAGUAGGGAAUCUUCCGCAAUGGACGAAAGUCUGACGGAGCAACGCCGCGUGAGUGAUGAAGGUUUUCGGAUCGUAAAGCUCUGUUGUUAGGGAAGAACAAGUACCGUUCGAAUAGGGCGGUACCUUGACGGUACCUAACCAGAAAGCCACGGCUAACUACGUGCCAGCAGCCGCGGUAAUACGUAGGUGGCAAGCGUUGUCCGGAAUUAUUGGGCGUAAAGGGCUCGCAGGCGGUUUCUUAAGUCUGAUGUGAAAGCCCCCGGCUCAACCGGGGAGGGUCAUUGGAAACUGGGGAACUUGAGUGCAGAAGAGGAGAGUGGAAUUCCACGUGUAGCGGUGAAAUGCGUAGAGAUGUGGAGGAACACCAGUGGGCGAAGGCGACUCUCUGGGUCUGUAACUGACGCUGAGGAGCGAAGCGUGGGGAGCGACAGGAUUAGAUACCCUGGUAGUCCACGCCGUAAACGAUGAGUGCUAAGUGGUUAAGGGGG